RNAcentral lists this ribosomal RNA (472 nucleotides) under uncultured bacterium. RNAcentral describes it as "bacterial SSU rRNA". It matches the Rfam family "Bacterial small subunit ribosomal RNA", at positions 355 to 825 of the family's 1533-position model. The record is from RNAcentral.
UGGGGAAUUUUGGACAAUGGGGGCAACCCUGAUCCAGCAAUGCCGCGUGAGUGAAGAAGGCCUUCGGGUUGUAAAGCUCUUUUGUCAGGGAAGAAACGGUAGUAGCGAAUAACUAUUACUAAUGACGGUACCUGAAGAAUAAGCACCGGCUAACUACGUGCCAGCAGCCGCGGUAAUACGUAGGGUGCAAGCGUUAAUCGGAAUUACUGGGCGUAAAGCGUGCGCAGGCGGUUGUGUAAGUCAGAUGUGAAAUCCCCGGGCUCAACCUGGGAAUUGCAUUUGAGACUGCACGGCUAGAGUGUGUCAGAGGGGGGUAGAAUUCCACGUGUAGCAGUGAAAUGCGUAGAUAUGUGGAGGAAUACCGAUGGCGAAGGCAGCCCCCUGGGAUAACACUGACGCUCAUGCACGAAAGCGUGGGGAGCAAACAGGAUUAGAUACCCAAGUAGUCCCUGAGCGGGCUGGCAAGGCGCAU